GCAAGUCGAAUGAAUUUAGAUUCAUGGCAGACGAGGUAGGAACACGUGGGUACAUACCGUAGAGUCAGGGAUAAUCUGUCGAAAGGCAGGAUAAUACUCGAUGGUCCCUUCGGGGUAAAGAUUUAUCGCUCUAUGAAUGGCCCGCGGUCUAUCAGCUUGUUGGUACGGUAACGGCGUACCAAGGCUACGACGGAUAGGGGAGGUGAGAGCCUGACC
RNAcentral lists this ribosomal RNA (216 nucleotides) under uncultured bacterium. RNAcentral's name for it is "partial 16S ribosomal RNA". It matches the Rfam family "Bacterial small subunit ribosomal RNA", at positions 57 to 305 of the family's 1533-position model. The record is from RNAcentral.